UACGUAGGGAGCGAGCGUUGUCCGGAUUCAUUGGGCGUAAAGCGUGCGCAGGCGGUUUUGUAAGGCUGGCGUGAAAUCCCCGGGCUCAACCUGGGAAUUGCGAUGGAGACUGCAAGGCUAGAAUCUGGCAGAGGGGGGUAGAAUUCCACGUGUAGCAGUGAAAUGCGUAGAGAUGUGGAGGAACACCGAUGGCGAAGGCAGCCCCCUGGGUCAAGAUUGUCGCUCAUGCACGAAAGCGUGGGGAGCAAACAGG
This 253-nucleotide ribosomal RNA is filed under the name uncultured bacterium. RNAcentral describes it as "partial 16S ribosomal RNA". It matches the Rfam family "Bacterial small subunit ribosomal RNA", at positions 524 to 776 of the family's 1533-position model. The record is from RNAcentral.